RNAcentral lists this ribosomal RNA (406 nucleotides) under uncultured bacterium. RNAcentral describes it as "partial 16S ribosomal RNA". It matches the Rfam family "Bacterial small subunit ribosomal RNA", at positions 30 to 526 of the family's 1533-position model. The record is from RNAcentral.
AUUGCACGCUGGCGGCAGGCCUAACACAUGCAAGUCGAGCGAGCGGCGGACGGGUGAGUAAUGUCUGUGAACCUGCCUGAUGGAGGGGGAUACCUCCUGGAAACGGUCGCUAAUACCGCAUACCCUCCUAUUUGCCCCUAUGGGAUUAGCUAGUAGGUGGGGUAACGGCUCACCUAGGCGACGAUCCCGAGCUGGUCUGAGCGGAUGACCAGCCACACUGGAACUGAGACACGGUCCAGACGCCUACGGGAGGCAGCAGUGGGGAAUAGUGCACAAUGGGCGCAAGCCUGAUGCAGCCAUGCCGCGUGUGUGAAGAAGGCCUUCGGGUUGUAAAGCACUUUCAGCGGGGAGGCGGGACCCGCAGAAGAAGCACCGGCUAACUCCGUGCCAGCAGCCGCGGUAAUAC